AUUCACUAAGUAGAGGAUCCUGCCUCAGAAAUAUCAGAGGAUCCUUUACUUUGAAGAGGUCAAUGUGUCUUUUUUUUUUUUUUUUUUUUUUUUGCAGGAACAGGUGUAUUUGACCACACACUGGGGGAAGUGGGGGAAGUAAAGACCUGAGCUUUGAGGAAGUCAAGCUGGAGGCCCUCAGAGGUGGUUAUUUAUAUCAGAGUGAUGUGUAUUGAAAGCCAAAGACUUUCAUUCCCCCACCAUCACGGAACUGAUUUAGAGAAGAGGAAGGGCGUGUAUUUCGCCUUCUUAAAUAUCUGCUGCAAGAACUUCUGGUGUGGGUCAGACUGCUCAUGAUCCAUGCACAGGCUUUAUGGUAGAUGAAAGGGCGUGUCAUCAAUCUUGUUUCAACUACUUUGUACAUAAAAUGGCUAACUUCUCAUUGGUUGACAGACUGUGUGACUUCAUUCUUAUUUCCUUUCGCAAGAUGCUCCCUAUAUACCCCCCAUGUGAACAGCCUGUUGUGCAUGUUUGGGGUGGGGGAGGAAGGACCUUACAUUGUCUAAGCUCAAAAUAAGAAAAUCAGACUCUAACAACAACCCAAAACAAUGCAUUAGAAACUCUUGUGGUGCCACUAACAUAAAUGAAGUCUCACAUAAUUAGCUUUCAUUUUAUAUCUCUUGCAUUGUAAAAUCCCUCCCUGCCCACACCCCACCCCCAUUCAGGCUCUUUUGGUUAUGAGAAAUGAGUGUGUUUUAGGACCAACAUGUCAGAAUUAUGAGGAAGAAACUUGGCAGUGGAACAAACUAUGUGAUACGCUUGACAAGAACUGAGAAACGACCCAUUUCAGGUUUUCUGAGGCAGCCUUUCAUUUUUGGUUCAGCAAUAUAGCCCAGAAGCCACAGAAUGGGAAGCACCGUUGCCAGCACCAUGAGGGUCAUAAAGAGGCCCAGUCACAUUGGGAUGGAAGUCCUCAUCCUCAGGCUCAGAGUGGUGAAUGGGAGGCGUGCCUUGCUCAGCCCCAGAGUGGAGACAAAUGGGUGUGGAAUUCACCAUAAUCUAUGGCAAGAAAUGGCCCUUACCCAUGGGAUUGAGAAUAUUAAUGCCAGGAAGAGGUCAGACAUUGAUAUUGAAGAGCAGACCUGUGUUGGAAUGAAUGCAGUUCUAGGGCGAGACUGGUGAAUGAAGAAGGGUAAGUAUGAAUGAGGGCUGACUAGAGCAUGACAGAGAAGAAGGUCAAAAGUACCACAUGUUAAGCUGAAGCCAAGGUUUUUGGGUUUUUUUUUCUCUUUUUUUGGCCAUCCCCAUGGCAUAUGGAGUUCCUGGGCCAGGGACCAGAUCUCAGCCAGAGCUGCUGGACCCUUAACCCACUUAACUCAUUGUGCCAGGCCAGGGAUUGAACCUGAGUGCUAGGGCUCCAGAGACACUUCUGAUCCUGCUGCACCAUAGCAGGAACUCCUGAAGCCAAGAGUCUAAUGAAAGAUUAAGGUGUUCUAAUAAAAGACAGCAAGUGCUCA
RNAcentral lists this long non-coding RNA (1496 nucleotides) under Sus scrofa (pig). RNAcentral describes it as "lncRNA (ENSSSCG00070000918.1)". Lineage: Eukaryota; Metazoa; Chordata; Mammalia; Artiodactyla; Suidae. The record is from RNAcentral.